GCCUGCAACUUCUGUUCAGAUGUAGAACAUAAUAAGAAGCUUUAUUGUUGGUAUUAGUCAAAAUAGUUGCGGGUUAUAUAAUAUAGAAGUCUUUACUGCACGUAUAUGACCAUGUUGAACAAUAAAUAUCUCAGAAGGCUUUUCUUGUCAAAAUACAUGAAAAUCUAUACAAAUGUAAUGAUCAAACCAGCAACUUGCCCACUUAUAAAAACACAUAAAAAAAAAUACUUUGUUUGCAUCUUACCUUCAUCAACUCCAAAAGAAUUUU
This 268-nucleotide unclassified non-coding RNA is filed under the name Hevea brasiliensis (rubber tree). Lineage: Eukaryota; Viridiplantae; Streptophyta; Magnoliopsida; Malpighiales; Euphorbiaceae. The record is from RNAcentral.